This 993-nucleotide unclassified non-coding RNA is filed under the name Pullenia subcarinata. RNAcentral describes it as "sequence contains 18S rRNA gene, ITS1, 5.8S rRNA gene, ITS2 and 28S rRNA gene". The stretch from base 392 to 587 matches the Rfam family "5.8S ribosomal RNA". Lineage: Eukaryota; Foraminifera; Rotaliida; Nonionidae. The record is from RNAcentral.
GGUGAACCUGCCGAUGGAUCAUUACGCGUUAUUUUAUAAACUUUACACAACACUGCGUCUAUUACGCCGUUGUAAUAUUUUUAUAGUUAUAACACACACUGCUCUGUGUGACUGUCCUGUACGCAUAUUCACGUAUGUGUCGGUACUGAAUACAGGCGACCAACCUUAAAACAAGUAUGCCUGCAGACUUUAGAUCUCAGGCGAACAAACCCCCUUUUAUCUAGAUCAAAUAAUUCAAUUCAGCUCUACGGAGUCUAACACAAUCAAAUUUUUUGAUAUAAAUAUUUUUUUUUUUUCUCUCUGCCGCAUGUUUUAUUACGCGCAGCGGAUUGGAAUAAAUUUAUUUAUUUUCACAUAGAUUAUUAUGUAGACAACACACACACAUUAUACACUGCAUGAGCGAUGGAUCUCUUGGUUCCUUGCAUCGUUGAAGGUCGCAGCGAAUUGCGAAAUGUUGGUCGUGUGAAUUGCAAGACACAUUGGCCCUUUUCGGGCUGCGGAACACCUUACUCACUGAACGUUUAUAUCGCUUAGCAGAUUAAUCUUCGUGUUCGCACGUAGACUGCAGCGCGCUCGGUUGAGAGUGCUUUAUAUGUUUACAUGCAUUUACUUGCAUCUUACACAUAUUUUUUUCUUUGCUGCGUCUUUUUUAUGCGUCUCACAACGCAUUUUGGCCGCAGCAUAGAAACCUUUCUAAAUUUUCUCCUGUAAACAGUGUUACGCUUUAUACACACACACAAAGCUAGUACUGCGGAAGGUAUUUCUUAAUUGCUAAUAUUUUCCAUCGCGUCAAAAAUUUAUAUUUUUUACCGUGUGCAAGUAUGAUUCACAUACAGAAAGUAUACAUCACACCGUCUGUUUACCAUUAGUUUGAUAAAUUUGUGUGCCUGAUACCGUACUUUUUUGUAUGCCGAAUUGGCGACUUCGCACAAUUAAUUUAGCGGUAAGUAAUUUUGAUGCAACCCAUUCCUAAGGCACAUCAGCUCGAGUGAG